UUUAGCUCAGGCAUCAGGGAUGAGCCAGCAGUCUGCUGCUGGUAGCUGGAACAACAACACCCAGCUGAGCUGCUGCUUGGAGCAUCCUUGAAGCUCUGCUUGCAAUGCCACCGCUGAUGACAUGCAGGCUACUGAGGCAGGCUGCCACUGAUGCACACAUGGACAGGAUCAUGAACUUCCUCAGGGACUGCUAGCAUUGGCUGCAUGAGAUGGUGAGACAGAACUGUCUGGCUUCAGGCAGGUUCAUGGAGGUAGUGUGACAGGAAUCACUCUGAGGCCAGGAGCCAUUCCCAGACCCGGGACAACUGGCAAAUACUUGCCAGGCUCCUUCCAAUGAUUCUAUGCCUACUGGUCAUUAGCCCCGCUCCUGCCUGGGAGCGGGACAGGCCAGUAUGGAUCCAAGUUCUGCCAUCCACCAAUUUUCAGUCAAGCUCGGAAAGUCCACCUUAGAGCUAAGGUCUUUUAGUUAGAAAUGAUUACUCCUUAGACUGAUUUUUUUUUAUGAAUCAUGCAUCACUACAGUCGUAAAAAGAAAUUCCUCUGUUGUAGUAAUUAUACACUGUUAUCUUAUAAAACCUGUUCUGUGGUUUGUUUAAUUAUGGUUAAUAUUUGGUUUAUAAAUAAAGGUUUGUAUUUCUUUGUUCGA
Long non-coding RNA from Alligator mississippiensis (American alligator), 646 nucleotides. RefSeq lists it as uncharacterized. The transcript is spliced from 2 exons. Lineage: Eukaryota; Metazoa; Chordata; Crocodylia; Alligatoridae. The record is from RefSeq and is a predicted model, not a curated record.